RNAcentral lists this ribosomal RNA (253 nucleotides) under uncultured bacterium. RNAcentral describes it as "partial 16S ribosomal RNA". It matches the Rfam family "Bacterial small subunit ribosomal RNA", at positions 524 to 776 of the family's 1533-position model. The record is from RNAcentral.
UACGUAGGGGGCAAGCGUUGUCCGGAAUCAUUGGGCGUAAAGAGCGCGUAGGCGGUCCGGUAAGUCCGCUGUGAAAGUCGGGGGCUCAACCCUCGAAUGCCGGUGGAUACUGUCGGGCUAGAGUGCGGAAGAGGCGAGUGGAAUUCCUGGUGUAGCGGUGAAAUGCGCAGAUAUCAGGAAGAACACCCGUGGCGAAGGCGGCUCUCUGGGACGGUACUGACGCUGAGACGCGAAAGCGUGGGGAGCGAACAGG